AAUCUUGGGCAAUGGGCGAAAGCCUGACCCAGCCACGCCGCGUGGAGGAUGACACCCCUAGCGGGCGUAAACUCCUUUUAUACGGGAAGAAGGCCUCCUUGGAGGGGGAUUGACGGUACCGUACGAAUAAGCACCGGCUAACUCCGUGCCAGCAGCCGCGGUAAUACGGAGGGUGCAAGCGUUGUCCGGAUUCACUGGGUGUAAAGGGUGUGUAGGCGGGACGGUAUGUUAGAGGUGAAAGCCCACGGCCUAACCGUGGAACUGCCUUUAAAACUGCCGUUCUUGAGUCUCGGAGAGGUCGCUGGAAUUCGUGGUGUAGCGGUGAAAUGCGUAGAUAUUGGGAAGAACACCAGAGGCGAAGGCGCUCAACUGGGCUGUAACUGACACUCAGGGACGAAAGCUAGGGUAGCGAAAGGGAUUAGAUACCCCCGUAGUCCUAGCUGUA
This 445-nucleotide ribosomal RNA is filed under the name uncultured marine bacterium. Its description in RNAcentral is "bacterial SSU rRNA". It matches the Rfam family "Bacterial small subunit ribosomal RNA", at positions 360 to 804 of the family's 1533-position model. The record is from RNAcentral.